UCCACUGCUCCACACCGCCUGUGGUAAUAAGAGAUGUACCACGGCCCAAUGGUCCCUCUCUCGGCCGGGCGUGUUUGUCGUGGGCAAGGAGGACGGCAACAUCGAUAUCUGGGACUUGCUGGAGAAAACCCAUGAACCAUCGCAGUCCCAGAACAUCACCUCCGUGUCCAUCAGCUGCAUGAAGCCCUGCAUCAUCUCACAGAAGCAGCAUCUCCUGGCCGUGUCCGAUGACUUUGGCACGUUGCACAUUCUGGAGGUUCCCUGGUCUCUGCGACAUCCAUUUAACCAGGAGUUGUCUACCGUCGAGGCCUACUUUGACCGGGAGGAGCAACGACUAGAUUACUUUGAAACGAGGAAAUUAUCCAGAGCCGAAAUGUUGGAGAGGCUGAAUCAAAUG
Long non-coding RNA from Amblyraja radiata (thorny skate), 397 nucleotides. RefSeq lists it as uncharacterized. The record is from RefSeq and is a predicted model, not a curated record. Lineage: Eukaryota; Metazoa; Chordata; Chondrichthyes; Rajiformes; Rajidae. The transcript has 3 exons.